UAAGAGUUUGAUCCUGGCUCAGAUUGAACGCUGGCGGCAUGCCUUACACAUCGAACGGUAGAGCUGCAACCCUCGAGAGUGGCGAACGGGUGAGUAAUGCAUCACAACGUGCCCAGUCGUGGCGGAUAACACUUCGAAAGAAGUGCUAAUACCGCAUACGACCUGAGGGUGAAAGCGGGGGACCGCAAGGCCUCGCGCGAUUGGAGCGGCCGAUGUCAGAUUAGGUAGUUGGUGGGGUAAAGGCCCACCAAGCCGACGAUCUGUAGCUGGUCUGAGAGGACGACCAGCCACACUGGGACUGAGACACGGCCCAGACUCCUACGGGAGGCAGCAGUGGGGAAUUUUGGACAAUGGGCGCAAGCCUGAUCCAGCCAUGCCGCGUGCGGGAAGAACCCUUCGGGUUGUAAACCGGUCAGGGAAGAAACGCUCCGGGCUAAUACCCUGUAGUAAUGACGGUACCUGAAGAAUAAGCACCGGCUAACUACGUGCCAGCAGCCGCGGUAAUACGUAGGGUGCAAGCGUUAAUCGGAAUUAAGUCGCGUAAAGCGUGCGCAGGCGGUGACUAAGACAGAGGUGAAAUCCCCGGGCUCAACCUGGGAACUGCCUUUGUGACUGUAGGGCUAGAGUGCGGCAGAGCUGAUGGAAUUCCGUAUGUAGCAGUGAAAUGCGUAGAUAUGCGACGGAACACCGAUGGCGCUGCAAUCCCCUGGGCCUGCACUGACGCUCAUGCACGAAAGCGUGGGGAGCAGGAGGAUUAGAUACCCUGGUAGUCCACGCCCUAAACGAUGUCAACUGGUUGUUGACUAGUUUGCUUCUCAGUAACGAAGCUAACGCGUGAAGUUGACCGCCCUGGCUAGUACGGCCGCAAGUGUUGAAACUCAAGACGGAAUUGACACGACCCGCACAAGCGGUGGAUGAUGUGGUUUAAUUCGAUGCAACGCGAAAAACCUUACCUACAGAGACAUGGCAGGAACCUUGGAGAGAUCUGAGGGUGCAUCAAGAGAUACCUGCACACAGGUAGGCAUGGCCGUCGUCAGCUCGUAUCGUGAGAUGUUGGCACAAGUCCCGCAACGAGCGCAACCCUUGUCAUUAGUUGCUACGAAAGGGCACUCUAAUGAGACUGCCUGUGACGUCGGAGGAAGGUGGAUGACGUCAGGUCCUCAUGGCCCUUAUGGGUAGCCUACACACGUCAUACAAUGGCCGGUACAGACUGCUGCCAACCCGCGAGGGAUAGCCAAUCCCAGAAAACCGGUACAGUCCGGAUCGCAGUCUGCAACUCGACUGCGUGAAGUCGGAAUCGCUAGUAAUCAUCUAUCAGCUUGCCGCGGUGAAUACGUUCCCGGGUCUUGUACACACCGCCCGUCACACCAUCAGAGCGGGUUCUGCCAGAAGUCGUUAGCCUAACCGCAACAUGCGAUGACCACGGCAGGACGAGUGACUGCGUGAAGUCGUAACUCGGUAACCAGAC
This 1468-nucleotide ribosomal RNA is filed under the name uncultured Leptothrix sp. RNAcentral describes it as "bacterial SSU rRNA". It matches the Rfam family "Bacterial small subunit ribosomal RNA". Lineage: Bacteria; Pseudomonadati; Pseudomonadota; Betaproteobacteria; Burkholderiales; Sphaerotilaceae. The record is from RNAcentral.